CAACCUCAACUCAUAUGGGACUACCCCCUGAAUUUAAGCAUAUUAAUUAGGGGAGGAAAAGAAACUAACAAGGAUUUUCUUAGUAGCGGCGAGCGAAAAGAAAUCAGUUCAGCACUAAGUCACUUUGUCUAUAUGGCAAAUGUGAGAUGCAGUGUACGGAACAUCAACAUUCUAGUAUGAGAAGUUAACGAUUUAAGUCCUUCUUAAAUGAGGCCAUUUACCCAUAGAGGGUGCCAGGCCCGUAUAACGUUAAUGAUUACUAGAUGGUGUUUCCAAAGAGUCGUGUUGCUUGAUAGUGCAGCACUAAGUGGGUGGUAAACUCCAUCUAAAACUAAAUAUAACCAUGAGACCGAUAGUAAACAAGUACCGUGAGGGAAAGUUGAAAAGAACUCUGAAUAGAGAGUUAAAUAGUACGUGAAACUGCUUAGAGGUUAAGCCCGAUGAACCUGAAUAUCCGUUAUGGAAAAUUCAUCAUUAGAAUUGUAAUAUUUUAAACAAUAUUAUAAUAAUAGUGUGCAUUUUUUCCAUAUAAGGACAUUGUAAUCUAUUAGCAUAAAUAUUUAUCAUAAAAUUAUGUCUGA
Molecule: non-coding RNA, 581 nt
Filed under: Drosophila virilis
Lineage: Eukaryota; Metazoa; Arthropoda; Insecta; Diptera; Drosophilidae
Description: Eukaryotic large subunit ribosomal RNA
Rfam family: Eukaryotic large subunit ribosomal RNA
Source: Rfam by way of RNAcentral